ACUCCACUGAGCACCUGGACCGCCGUUACCAGAAUUGCCUGUGUCCUCCUCCUGGAGCUAGUGUGUGCGACUCCAUAGAGCAUUUGGAUUACACUCCUCCGAAUCCCGAAGGAAAAACGCUCAAAAUCUCAUUCUUCAGGGGGAAGCGUUGCCACUCCGGGGUGCCCACUGGGAACGAAUCCCAAACCCACGAGCGCCUGCCUGGUGGGGAAUGUGAACUGUUAUCCUGAGAAUCGUCCUUCUCUCUCCCUGGUUCAGGACAGAAAAUAUUGAAUAGACGGGAAUUCCUGAAGUCUAAACGCCUCCAACGAUAAGAGGAGUGUUAUUGGAAAGGGAAGAAGCGAGAAGACGCAAUCUUCGAGGAGUUAAGUUUUGCUAAUCUAAUGAUGAGAUUGCAUUCAUGAAGACUGAGUGAAGACUUUAUCGCACCAUCACAUCACUAAGGUUUUUCUCCAACAUGAACGUUCUGAUGAAGCUGAAGACUUGAGGCCCGACUAAAGCACAUAUCACACUCCUGACACUUCCAUGUUUUCUCUCCCACGUGGACCCUCUGAUGCACCUCAAGAUUCAAGCGCCUGUUGUAGCCCUUCCCACAGUCCUCACAUUUGUAUGGCUUUUCUACACUGUGAACUUUUUCUAGGACUUUAGAGAAUGAAUUCCGUACAAUGUUCUUCCCAUGCUCCUCACAUUUGAGAGGUGUUUCCCUGCUGUGGCGUCUCUGAUGGGUCAGACGAGUUGAGGACCAUCUGAAGCCCUUCCCACACUCAUCACAUUUGUAUGGCUUUUCUCCAGUGUGCACUCUUUGAUGAGAAUGAAGCUGUGAAUUCUGAGUAAAUCUUUUCCCACACUCUUCACAUUUGAAUGGUUUUUCUCCACUGUGCAGUCUCUGAUGUUUCAAAAGACACGAGGCCCAGCCAAAACUCUUCCCACAUUCUUUACAAUUAUAUGGUCUCUCUCCUGUGUGGACCUUCUGGUGCAUAUCAAGAUUAAACUUACUGUUGUAGCCCUUUCCACACUUCUCACAUUUGUAUGGCUUUUCUCCAGUGUGGACUCUCUGAUGGGAAUGAAGAUGUGAAUUUUGAGUAAACCUCUUCCCACACUCUUCACAUUGGAAUGGUUUUUCUCCACUGUGGAGUCUCUCAUGUUUCAAAAGACAUGGGGCCCGACUAAAGCUCUUCCCACAUUCCUUACAAUUAUACAGUUUCUCUCCUGUAUGGACGCGCUGGUGAAAGUCAAGAUCCAACCUCCUUUUGUAGCCCUUCCCACACUCCACACAUUUGUAUGGUUUUUCUCCACUAUGGGAUCUCUGGUGGGAAUAACAUUGUGAAUUUGUAUAAAAUCCUUUACCACAUUCUUCACAUUUGAAGGGUUUUUCUCCACUGUGGACUCGCUGAUGUUUCAAAAGACACGAGGCCCAUCUGAAAUUCUUCCCGCAAUCUUUACAAUUAUAUGGCUUCUCUCCCGUGUGAACCAUAUGAUGUGUAUAAAGAUCUCGCCUGCAAAUAAAGCCUUUUCCGCACUCCUCACAUUUGUAUGGUUUCUCUCCUGUGUGGAUCAUAAGAUGACUAUUAAGUGCUGAUCUCUGACGAAAGCUCCUACCACACGUAUCACAUUGGAAUGGUUUCUCUCCCGUGUGAACCAUGGAAUGCCUAUUAAGUCUUGAUCUACCACAGAAGCUCUUACCACAUAUAUCACAUUUGAAUGGCUUCUCCCCAGUAUGGAUUCUCUGAUGUUCUUGAAGCUGGGAAUCGUGAAUGAAGGCCUUCCCGCAUUCCUCACAAUUAUAAGGUUUCUCUCCUGUGUGUAAUUUAUGAUGAACAUUAAGCGCUGAUCUACGACUGAAGCCUUUCCCACAUUCCACACAUUUGAAUGGUUUCUCUCCAGUGUGGACUCUCUGAUGAGUUUGCAGACGUGAGCUCUGACUGAAUUCCUUACCACACACGUCACACUUGUAGCGUUUCUCUCCCAGGUGGACUCUCUGAUGAAUACGAAGGGCUGAGAUGUAACAGAAGCUUUUUCCACACUCAUCACAUGUAUGAGACAUCUCUCCUGAGUGUAAUUGUUGAUGGAAAUCAAAGAUGGAGACAUCACUGAAGGACUGUUUAUAUCCAUUGCUCUGGGAAGAUUUCUGUCUUGUGUGAAUUACAGAUAGUCCUGCCUCAGACUGGCUGGGGAAAUCACCUUCUCUGGAGAACUGAGAGCUAUUUAUCACCAAGUCUUGAGACCUGGUUAAAUCACUUGCAAUUUUUUCCCAGAUUUGCUGGCAGGACCACUCUUGAUCUGUUCCUGCUUCUGAAAUAGUCUCCAUCUCAGUUUGGAUCUUGUCUCCUAUCAGAAUACAGAAUUAAAAGACGAGGACAAGUGAAGCCUUUGUUCAGUGUUAUCAAGAUUUCACUUAGGCCAUGGCAUGAAACUCUCAAGAGUACAGGCAACAUUCAGUUUUUAUUUUUCAAGUGCACCAUAAUCUCCAGUUUGGAUGAGGCCAAUUUCGAACUAAACCAAGUAUCAUAUGUAAAAUGCUUGGUAGAAAUAAAAGACUUACAAAAAACAAUAGACGUUGACAUGGGUGUGGUGAAAAGAAACACUUAUAUACUGCUGGUGUGAAUGUAAAUUAGUACAACCUCUAUAAAAAGCAGUAUGGAGAUUCUCUAAAGAACUAAAAGUGAUCUACCAUUUGAUCCAGCAAUCCCACUACUGUCUUCCCAAAGGAAAAAGAAGUCAUUACAUCAAAAGGACACCUGCACGCCUAUAUUUAUUACAGCACAAUUCACAUUUUCAAAGAUAUGGAACCAACCUAAGUGCCUAUCAACCAACGAGUGGAUAAAGAAAAUGUGGUAUAUAUACACCAUGGAAUACUAUUCAGCCAUAGGAAAAUGAAAUAAUGUCUUUUGCAGCAACUUGGAUGGAGCUGGAGGCCAUUAUUCUAAGUAAAGUAACUCAGGAAUGGAAAACCAAAUACCAUGUUUUCACUUAUAAGUGGGAGCUAAGCUAUGGGUAUGCAGAGGCAUACAGAGUGAUAUAAUGGACUAUGGAGACUCAAAAUGGGGAGGCUGGAAGGUAGGGUAAGUGAUAAAAAGCUACAAGUUGGGUACAGUGUACACUACUCAGGUGAUGGGUACACUAAAAUCUCAGACUUCACCAUUAGACAAUUCAUCCAUGUUACCAAAAACCACUAUAUCCCAAAAGCUACUGGAAAAAAAAAAUUUUAAAUAAAAUAAAAGACAAUAAUAAAAUUAAUAUGAUACAAACAUUAUACCUGCUACUCUUCCUAGUGAAUUUCCUAAUCAGUCUAAAAUCUUGCAUGGUAAAUUAUGAAACUAAUAAAUUAUGUAUAUAAUAAAAUAUGAAUCAAAACCAACUUUAAAGAAAAGUAAUAUAAUCAAUACUUGGUACAUUUGUGUUUAUAUUGUGUAUCCUUACAAAGUAAAGAUAUUAACCUCACUCAAAAUGAGGUCUGGAUGUUCUCCUCAGGAUCUAAGAGGUAAUUUCUAGGAGUUUAUGCCUGAGGAGAGUGUCUUUGUUUGCUUGGGGGCAAAACUAGGUCACUGGAAAGUGAAGCAAUAUGAUUUAGGGUUGUGGCUGGCCACGCCUUUGGGGGUUGGUGCCCCCCAUGUCACAAAGAGCAAUGUGAUUUAAGGUGGGGCUUUCGGUUACAUGCAAUCAGUGGCCCAGGAGACUGACUAGCCACAUGGGAAUCAAUCAACAAAUAAUGGCUAUGUAAUGGAGCCUCAAAAAUUACUUGUAAAGCCAGGGCUCAGGUGAGCUUUCCUGAUUCGCUGUACUCUCUACGUCACACCUUAAUUCUAGGAAUGUAACGCAUCCUACUUUAUUGCAAGAAUACAAGAUCCUCAUUUGGUACUUCCCAGAACUGUUCCUUAUUUUUCUCUUGGUGAAAUGUAAUGUGCACCUCUACCCUGUAAAUAUCCAUAACUUUUAGUAUAAAAGCAUUCAGUGAGUUCUGCUUGCCUUUCUAAGUAAUUACUGAAUGUGAAGGUAGUUUUGGAAAAUCCCCACACUUGCAGUUGGUGUGAAAUGAGAAUGAUCUUCUGUAAACUCUUGCUCUAAACUGUGUAGUCAGUUAAACUCUUCACAAUAAUAUCAAAGGCCUACGAGUGUUUAUAUCUACAUAUUCAUAAUAUUCCUAUACAAGAAUUUUGCAUAACAUGUAUCUUUAAUUUUAUUUUUCUGUAGAUGUGAACAAUAAUUUGGUUAUCUGAAAUAGCUCUCUCCAUGAUUCCAGGAGACAGUGAAGUCACCCCAUUCAAUAGCUUAUACAUAAGGUUAACAAAUAUUUGGAAACCUGCCAUGUACCAGGACUAUUCUAGACACUGAAAAUACAGCCAGAAGAGUUAAAAUUUCUUAGACAUUACAGUCCAGCAUGUAGAAGUGACAGAUAAACAGAAGUUAAUGAGACUUGGUACAAGACAGCACAAGAAGAAUCAAAAUAGAACGGAAUUAUAGAGAGUGGUUUGGGAUGGCUUCUCUCAUGACUUUAAAACUGAAAAGAAAUCUGAAUAACUGAAGGAGAUGCCAGACGGCUUUAAGGUGACAGAGUAUUCCAAUGACUGAGAUAAGCAAGUAAGGACUGAGUCAGAAGCUUCUGUAGAGACAGAAUAAUGGUUCCUAAAGGAUGUCCACAUCCAGUCCCCAGGACCUAUGAUCACGUAUACAGCAGGGGAAUAGAGGUUGUAGAUGCAAUUAAGGUUGCUAGUCAGUUAACCAGAGAACAGGAAGAUCAUCCUGGAUUAUCCAGGAGUGAUCAAUAUAAUUACAAGGGAUGCAAAAGGUGAAAGAAGGCAUAAGAAGAGUGGCAGAGGGAGCACGACUAUGGGGAUGCAAGUUGCUGCCUUUGAAGAUGGAAGAAGGAAAGCAAGAGCCAAGGAGUGUGGACAGUGCCUAGACACUGAUAAACCAAAGCAAAGGCUUCUCCCCAAGAGCAUCCAGAAAACAUGAAGCCCUACAGACAACUUGAUAACUGCCCAGUGAGAUGUAUCAGACUUCAUCCCUAAAGAACACAAAAAUAAUAAAUGUUUGUUGCUCAGUCUGCUAAGUCUGUGAUCAUUGGGUACCAGCAAAAGGCAACACAGUGUCCUUGGGAGGACAGAGAAACAGCAGGGAGAAUAAUGUGGCUGGUAAAGACAGAGCAACAGGGAGAGGACAGGAGAUGCAGUUAGAGAGGUGGCAGAGAGGGGAUGAAUGGCAGAAUACAGGUUCUCUAAAAGUCCAUUAAAGAGGUUGUAACUUUAAUAAAAAUAAGCCAAACAGGCUUUUGAGCUGAGGAAUGACAAUCUGACUUACAUUUCCUGAGGAUCACUUCGGCUGCUAUGAGAACAGAUGUCACGAUGGGAAGGCAGGCAGCAGGGCCACCAGGUGUAAGAUGGUUGUCAAUAAUCCAAGAAAGAGGUCUGGCCAUUUAGGCCAGGGCAAUGGAUUUGAGCACAGACAGAAGUAAACAGAUGGAAGAGACGUACAGGGAUUCACAGUUGCUUGAUUCUUACCUGAAUCCCCUUCUCUUUGGGUUGCUGUCUUCAUCAUCCAAAUCUUUUCUUCCCUUAGGAAGUGGAAAGUAUCCCUGUGGAAUGCUUGAUGUCCUGCAAAUAGGCAAAGUUACGUGCUUAAUCCCAACACAUUCUAGGUAACAUCAAGUGACUGAUUUUCCUGAGUUCCACCAGAAACGCAAUGAUGAAAAAGACCUCCUGUAUUUUUACUUCGUGCAAUCAUUGAGUCUCCUUGUAAGUAAUCCUCUAGGACUCUAAAUGUGUCGUCCUGGGCUACACAUAUAUAUACGUUUUGAUAAAUCUUGACAAUCACCUCAGCAACAUUUCGCAAUUCAGUCCUGACUUUGCUUGAUAAUGCCCAUUGUUUUCCUCUCUCAAACUUGAACCCUGGAUGUUAUUGUUUUUCUUCAACAUUUGCCAAACUGACAAGCUUAUGGUGACAUGUGUGAGUAGUUACGCAGUGAGCCCUCUGUACUCUCAAGGCAAAAACUACAUAUAUUAAUUGCAACAUUGAAUGUCAUGAUCUGCAGCCAGCAUGCCUCAGAGCGCAUAUAUAAGGCUCUGUCCCUUCCCAGUCAUGUCACCUUGGACAAGCUGGCCUGAAUGCAUUACUUUCCUCUCUGUAUAAUGAUUGUCACAUGAUGUAGUUUUUAAAUAAUUAAACAGUGGAAUAUACAUAUGGUACUGGGGAAAAGUGUGCAGCACAGACUGAAUACUUAAUAAACAUUAGCUGCUUUGAUUUUU
This is a non-coding RNA of Macaca mulatta (Rhesus monkey), 6242 nucleotides long. NCBI's taxonomy places the organism in Eukaryota, Metazoa, Chordata, Mammalia, Primates, Cercopithecidae. The record is from RefSeq and is a predicted model, not a curated record.